GUGCUUACUUGGGCAGCACAAAUACUAAGAUUGGAACGAUACAGAGAUGCUUAGCAUGGCCCCCCGGGCAAGGAUGUCACACAAAUUGGUGAAGUGUUCCAAGGUCAG
Phodopus roborovskii (desert hamster) is the source of this 108-nucleotide small nuclear RNA. The record is from RefSeq and is a predicted model, not a curated record. Lineage: Eukaryota; Metazoa; Chordata; Mammalia; Rodentia; Cricetidae.